This 253-nucleotide ribosomal RNA is filed under the name uncultured bacterium. RNAcentral describes it as "partial 16S ribosomal RNA". It matches the Rfam family "Bacterial small subunit ribosomal RNA", at positions 524 to 776 of the family's 1533-position model. The record is from RNAcentral.
UACGUAGGGGGCAAGCGUUGUCCGGAUUUAUUGGGCGUAAAGAGCGUGUAGGCGGCCAUGCAGGUCCGUUGUGAAAACUGGAGGCUCAACCUCCAGACGCCGGUGGAAACCGCAUGGCUAGAGUCCGGAAGAGGAGAGUGGAAUUCCUGGUGUAGCGGUGAAAUGCGCAGAUAUCAGGAAGAACACCCGUGGCGAAGGCGGCUCUCUGGGACGGUACUGACGCUGAGACGCGAAAGCGUGGGGAGCGAACAGG